UGAACUGUAGUUGAGGUUUAAUAUGAGCUUUUUUCAACAGUAGCUUUCUAUUUGCCACUCUCCCACAAAGCUUAAUCCUGUGAAGAACAGGCUACAGUUGUUCAACGCACAGUUGCUCUUAUCUCCUAAGCUUGUAACUUUUUCAGAGGAGCCAUGGUGGAGUCUUGGUGGCAUCCCUCACUAUUUUCUUACUCUUCAUGGUGUAGUAAUGGCCAGGAGUACUGAUUUACCAGUCAUGGACCAGGUGUCUUUAUACUGCAAUCACUGGAGACAAUUUCACUGCAAUCUGAUGAUCUCCAUUUCACUGCAUGACUUCUAACACCAAUUAACUGUGUCGAUAUUAGAUUAUGUGAAUCACUUUCAAAUUGGUAAAUAUUGAUGCAAGCAGUCAUUUUACUUUAAAAAAAAAAAUAAAAAAUUACAUUUGUCCGACUGGGUGAACAACAACCAGGUGCAGCCGCUGAUAAAUUACAGUGUUUUAGUAAGGUGUUAACGUGCCACCAGACCACCUUCAGUGGGCUUUGGCAUUGAUUCUCUAGGUCUCUAAACUCUCCUGAACGGAAAAAUGCAAUUCCUCUUAAACAUAGGUGCCAAACUCAGGCCCACAGGUGUUUGACUGAGUUGAGAUCUGCAGACUGUGAAGGCCAUAGCAUAUGAUUGGUAUUAUUUUCAUGAAACCAUUCAGUGACUCUUCAUAUAGAUAAGGGCUUUGUCACCCUACAAUGAAUCAUUUUCAUCAGGAAAGACAAGUACUCUGAAAAGAAAUAAUGAAAAUGUGGUGAUCCGAGUUUUUGUGCUUUUGUGAGACUUUGUUUAGUGUAUGUGCUUGUUGUUCCUGGUGGCUGCAAGUGUGUUUCAGGCUGGGUGGGGUUCUCGGACGGGAGAGGUCUCACUCACUCUGUUCCACACCUGAGGCACAUCAAGCAAUCAGCGCUGGAUAAAAACCUGCCUCCACCUGUGCUCCAGCGCCAGUGGAUUAUCCUCCUUUUGAGCGAACCUCCCUGACAGAUCAUGGCCUCCCCAGUCCAGCUUCAGCAGCCGAACCCCAGCCUCAGCCAUCCUGUCUCCCGGUCCCUCUUGGAAACCUCCCCUUGAAUUCCCUCCCUCACUGGGGUCUCCUCACGAGUUUCCCGGUGUCCCCUGCUUCCUCACAGCCUUUGAAUAAAUCCCUAAUUUCUUCACUCCUAA
Molecule: long non-coding RNA, 1188 nt
Organism: Stegastes partitus (bicolor damselfish)
Lineage: Eukaryota; Metazoa; Chordata; Actinopteri; Pomacentridae
Exons: 3
Source: RefSeq, a predicted model, not a curated record